Non-coding RNA from Vicia faba (fava bean), 246 nucleotides. The record is from the annotation of a GenBank genome assembly. NCBI's taxonomy places the organism in Eukaryota, Viridiplantae, Streptophyta, Magnoliopsida, Fabales, Fabaceae.
AUGCGGCGAUCUGGAGCAUGGUGGCUGAACUGGCGGUGUACGAUGGAAACGGGAGAUGAGCACGGAGGUUUGAGCGUUGGCGUUAGAGUGAAUGAAGAGUCAAUUUCUAAGUUCUUCUUACCACUUAAUUUGCUUCUGUUUAUGAGUUUUGUGAAUGCUUGUAUCCACAACUUUUCUAAUUUAAUUCACUGGCUUGUAUUGUUGGUUUGGAUUGAUGAAUAUAUUUGGAAUUGUGUUUUUGUGUAA